RNAcentral lists this long non-coding RNA (235 nucleotides) under Gallus gallus (chicken). Lineage: Eukaryota; Metazoa; Chordata; Aves; Galliformes; Phasianidae. The record is from RNAcentral.
CAAAGUUUCAUGCAUGUUGGAAGGAGGCUGCAGCACCAGCCGGGCUUGUUUUCUUCUCUGUUUCCUGUAGUAGUUCUCAAAGGUUUCUCGGGCACCCAGCACGGAGUAGAUGUGCAGGCAGCGGUACACGGGCGAGAAGUCCACCAGCUCCUGGGCCCCGGGCACCUCUUCAUCCUCCUCCUCAUCUUCAACAUCCAGGAUACCCGAAUCCUGCUCAGACAUGGGGCUAGUGUUC